CCAUAUGUCAUUUAGGAACCAAUCACUGUGUCUGGAAAGGAAGGACUGUGUCUAUUGGCAUGCCUGAGUCAUGUGAUCAUUACUGAUGAUGGGGGUGGGGCUAGCCCCACCAGACCUAAGGGGACAAAGGGUGAAAGAGAAAGUAAUUCGUUCAACAAAUGUUUAUUGAGCCCCUACUGUGUGCCUGUCCCUGGUCUAGACGCUAAGGAUACAGCAGUGAACAGGACCAGAGGAAAAAACCCGUCCUCCUGUGGCUGAUGCUAUAGAUGAAGCCAGCUGCCACAUUGUGAGCUGCCCUAUGGAGAGGCCACCUCCUUAAGAGCAAGUAAGGAAUUCAAACCUUCCAACAACACACAGCCAAUGCUUGGAUAGAAGCCUGUGAAGGGACCUGAAGCAGAGAGCCCAAUGAAGCCAUUCCUGGUUCCUGACCUACCGAAACAGAAACUUUCCAGCCCUGGAAUUCACCUGAGGCCACCAACACCACAGGAGAGGACUCAGACGUCAGCUGCCCUAUCGGAGUCUGGGUAUGCUCAGUCCUGCUGCAGUAACAAGUGAGCUCCAAAUCUCAGGGGCGUAAAACAUCAGAGAUUCCACUUCUCACUUGGCACAUUGCAGAUUGCCAGAGCCGAAGGACAAGAAAACACACAGUGGCUUACACCAGCUCUUCAAGUUGCCGCCUGCACAUGACCCGUGUCAUAACUGCUCACAUCUCAUUGGCUAACGCAAGUCUCACAGCCACUCAAGCAAGAGCUGGAGUGGUAGUGACCAACCCGAUGGCCAUUAGCCAGCAGGCUAAGAGCACAUUACGUACAUUCACACUGUUGUAUAACCAUCCCUGCCCUCCGUCUCCAGAAUUUGUUUCUUUCUUUCUUUUUAAAUUUUGACGUGUUACAUGCUUGUAACCAUGACCCAGAUCAGACUAUCAAACAUUCUCACUCAUUUUUCUCCCCAUUGGGCCCCCCAGCCCCUGUUUUUGUUUUGUUUGCUCGUUUGUUUCAUUUUUUCAAAUUCUACAUGUAAGUGAAAUCCUAUGGUACUUGUCUUUCUCAGCCUGGCUUGUUUCCACUGAGCAUAAUACCCUCCAGCUCCAUCCAUGUUGUUGCAAAUGGCAGGAUCUCACGCUUUCUUAUGGCUGAAUAAUAUUCCAUUGUAUAUAUGCACUACAUCUUCUUUAUCCAUUCACCUAUCAGUGGACACUCAAGUUGCUUCCAUAUUUUAGCUAUUGUACAUAAUGCUGCAAUAAACAGCCGUGCAUGGAACUUUCUUUCCAAAUUAGAGAUUUUGUUUUCUUCAUAUGUAUUCCCAGAAGUGGAAUUGCUGGGUCAUACGGUAUUUCUAUUUUCCUUUUCAUCUUGUAAAACCGAAACUCUGUCCCCUUUAAACACUAACUGCCCACUUUCCCUACCCUGGCCCCCGGCCCCCACAUCCACUUGCUGUGUGUGUGUGUGUGUGUGUGUGAAUCUGACUCCUCUGGGGACCUCCUAUAAGUGGAAUCAUGCGUUUGUCCUCUCGUGACUCCCUUAUUUCACUCAGUAUAAUGUCCUCAAGGGUCACCCAAGUUGUAGCAUGUGCCACAAUUUCCUUCCUUUAAAAAAAAUUUUAAGUGGUAAAAAAACUUGUAAUAUAAAGUUCAUCUUAACCACUUUUAAGUGUACGGUUCAGUGGUGUUAAGCAUAUUCACAUAGUUGUGCAACCAGCCUCCAGAACAUUUUCAUCUUGCAAAAUUGUCACUCAACACCCACUGAACAACAACUUGCUUCCCACCACUCCCCAGCCCCUGGCACACCGCCCUUCUGCUCUCUGUCUCUGUGAGGGUAACUGCUUCCAUUCCCUCUUAUAAGGAGACUCUUAGAAGGACACAGGACCUGUCCUUUUGCCUCUGGCUUAUUUCACUCCACAUAAUGUCUUCUUCAAGGUCUAUCCAUGUUGUAGCAGGUGCCAGUUUCCUUCCUUUUUAAGGCCGAAUAAUAUUCCAUGGCAGGGAUACCCCACAUUUUGUUUAUCCCCUUGCCCACUCAUAGAAACUUGAGUUGUUUCCACUUUUUAGCUAUUGUGAAUAAGGCUGCUGCAAACGCGGGUGGACAGAUAUCUCUUUGAGACAUUUUUUUCAAUUCAUUUGGAAUUGCUGGAAUGUACACUUAUUCUGUGUUCCAUUUUUUAAGGAACCGCCAGACUGUUUCCAUUUUACAGUCCCACCAGCAGUGCACAAGGGUUCCAAUUUCUCCACAUCCUUGACAACCCUUGCUGUUUCCUGUUUGCGUUUUAUAGUACCACCCUGAUGGGUGUGAAGUAGUAUUUCAUUGCGGCUUUGAUUUGCAUUUCCCUGAUGACCAGUGAUGCUGAGCACCUUUUGGUGUGCUUACUGUCCAUUUGUCUGAGGAUUUUGAUGACUCCAUUUCAAAGGAAGCUCAGGGCGUGGCUGCCAGUCUCCUUCCCAAUGCCAGGGCACCGGGUAACCUGCAGGGUCCUCAGGGCUGGUUCUUUGAGCCAGGCAGAAGCUGGGGGUGAGAGGCAGGCGUGGUGGUGCCAUAUCCUGGAAGGCACUGCUGCUAACCUUCAUCACUUGUCACCAAGAACCACGCCAGGGACCACGAAAAACCCCAGUGACACCUUCAUCCCCAGAUACACAGGUGCCGACAAGAAAUGCUCCCCUACAAGUCCUUCCUUGGAGCACUCAGAAGAAACACUCCUGUCUGUCCCUCUCCCCGUGGCUUCCUGUGGUAUUACAACAGGACACCUGCGGCCACGGCGGCUUCACGCCAACACACAGGGCCCAGACCUCCCGCCCAGUCCUCACCUCCUGCCCCGUGGAGGUGAUCAGCGGCUCAUGGCACCAUCUGUUCCUCUCCCCCUGGACCACGGACUCCAUGGACUGUUUCUUCCAUCAGCCUGCUUUUCCUUUUUUUUGAUUCUUGAAUGAAUUUAUUUUGAAAGGAAACUUAAUGCUGUGGCCACAAAAGAAAACCUGAGUCAUUUCCAUAAGCAGAAAGCAGCAGGAAAAAAGGAAUGAUGUCAUAAAAAGGAACGACGUCAUAGGGGCAGGAAUGGGGUGACGAUAAAUUCGGUUACUGCUUCUGCCUGCAGAAGGCUCGAGGCUGGACUAGCACGGGGAUGGCGAGGAGCAAAGCCUCAGGGGUCGAGCGCGCCCAGGGACCCUGAGAGCCAAUGUCUCACCCUCCAGUCCAGCCACAGCACAGAGUAUUCUUGAGCCAAAAAGAAAGGAAAGAGAAGGGAAGGGAAAGGAAAGAAAGGCAAAAAGGAAAGUAAAUGAAAACGGAAAGAGACAACCAGAGUUUUUAAAGUCAAAGACAGAGCAACAAUAAGCGCAGACUGACAUGGAUUCAUGCAACCGUGACCAAGC
Manis pentadactyla (Chinese pangolin) is the source of this 3361-nucleotide long non-coding RNA. RefSeq lists it as uncharacterized. The transcript is spliced from 3 exons. Lineage: Eukaryota; Metazoa; Chordata; Mammalia; Pholidota; Manidae. The record is from RefSeq and is a predicted model, not a curated record.